AGAUCAACUAUAAAUUUAUUACAAGUCUUUGGAUAUUGCCUAAUUUCUUACAAGUGCUAAACAUAUCAAUUUUUAAGUACCUAUGCACUAAUUCCAUCAUACCUCAAAAAUCCAAUGCUCAAAUAUUAUAAAUUUUUUAUAUACAAAUUUUUAAUACAGUCAUCUAUACUUGUGGAAAUUUUUAGCCAAAAAAUCGUCCAAAAAUUUAGGAUAUGGCUCAAAUCAAAACGUCUAUUGAAAACAACUUACUUACAAAUUCUAAUUUUAAACACUAAUUUC
RNAcentral lists this long non-coding RNA (279 nucleotides) under Physcomitrium patens. RNAcentral describes it as "long non-coding RNA (PPAT_LNC009175)". The record is from RNAcentral. Lineage: Eukaryota; Viridiplantae; Streptophyta; Bryopsida; Funariales; Funariaceae.